Molecule: ribosomal RNA, 253 nt
Filed under: uncultured bacterium
Lineage: Bacteria
Description: partial 16S ribosomal RNA
Rfam family: Bacterial small subunit ribosomal RNA
Source: RNAcentral
UACGGAGGGUGCAAGCGUUAUCCGGAUUCACUGGGUUUAAAGGGUGCGUAGGUGGGUUUGUAAGUCAGUGGUGGAAUCUCCAAGCUUAACUUGGAAACUGCCGUUGAUACUAUAGAUCUUGAAUCUCGUGGAGGUAAGCGGAAUAUGUCAUGUAGCGGUGAAAUGCUUAGAUAUGACAUAGAACACCGAUAGCGAAGGCAGCUUACUACACGAGUAUUGACACUGAUGCACGAAAGCGUGGGGAUCAAACAGG